RNAcentral lists this ribosomal RNA (1405 nucleotides) under uncultured bacterium. Its description in RNAcentral is "16S ribosomal RNA". It matches the Rfam family "Bacterial small subunit ribosomal RNA". The record is from RNAcentral.
AGAGUUUGAUCCUGGCUCAGAACGAACGCUGGCGGCGCGUCUUAAGCAUGCAAGUCGAACGGCAAGGCAGGUGCUUGCACCUGCCCUAGAGUGGCGGACUGGUGAGUAACACGUGGGUGACAUGCCUUUUAGUUGGGGAUAGCUACUAGAAAUAGUAGAUAAUACCGAAUGUGAUCAAUAUUUAUAGAUGAUGUUGAGGAAAGGAGCUAAGGCUUCGCUAAAAGAUUGGCCCGCGGCCCAUUAGCUAGUUGGUAGGGUAAAGGCUUACCCAAGGCGAUGAUGGGUAUCCGGCCUGAGAGGGUGAUCGGACACAUUGGGACUGAGAUACGGCCCAGACUCCUACGGGAGGCAGCAGCUAAGAAUAUUCCACAAUGGACGAAAGCCUGAUGGAGCGACGCCGCGUGGAUGAUGAAGGCCGAAAGGUUGUAAAAUCCUUUUACACUGGAGGAAUAAGCAGAGUAGGGAAUGACUCUGUGAUGACUGUACAGUUUGAAUAAGCAACGGCUAAUUACGUGCCAGCAGCCGCGGUAACACGUAAGUUGCGAGCGUUGUUCGGAAUUAUUGGGCGUAAAGGGCAUGUAGGCGGAUUUGCAAGCUUGAUGUGAAAUCCCGCAGCUUAACUGCGGAACUGCAUUGAGAACUGCAAGACUAGAGUUACUGAGGGGAAACUAGAAUUCCAAGUGUAGGGGUGAAAUCUGUAGAUAUUUGGAAGAAUACCAAUGGCGAAGGCAAGUUUCUGGCAGAUAACUGACGCUGAGGUGCGAAGGUGCGGGGAGCAAACAGGAUUAGAUACCCUGGUAGUCCGCACAGUAAACGAUGUACACUAGGUGUUUGACCAUGAGGUUGAGUGCCAUAGCUAACGCAAUAAGUGUACCGCCUGGGAAGUAUGCCCGCAAGGGUGAAACUCAAAGGAAUUGACGGGGGCCCGCACAAGCGGUGGAGCAUGUGGUUUAAUUCGAUGGUACGCGAGGAACCUUACCUGGGUUUGACAUAUACUGGAAUGUUAUAGAGAUAUAGCAGCGUAGCAAUACGCCGGUAUACAGGUGCUGCAUGGCUGUCGUCAGCUCGUGCCGUGAGGUGUUGGGUUAAGUCCCGCAACGAGCGCAACCCCUACUGUCAGUUGCUAACAGAUAAUGCUGAGGACUCUGGCGGAACUGCCGGUGACAAACCGGAGGAAGGUGGGGAGGACGUCAAGUCAUCAUGGCCCUUAUGUCCAGGGCUACACACGUGCUACAAUGGUAGAAACAACGCGAUGCUACACUGCAAAGUCACGCAAAACGCAAAAAAGCUAUCGUAGUUCGGAUUGGAGUGUGAAACUCGACUCCACGAAGUUGGAAUCGCUAGUAAUCGCGCAUCAGCACGGCGCGGUGAAUAAAAUCCCGGGCCUUGUACACACCGCCCGUCA